Molecule: ribosomal RNA, 358 nt
Filed under: uncultured bacterium
Lineage: Bacteria
Description: bacterial SSU rRNA
Rfam family: Bacterial small subunit ribosomal RNA
Source: RNAcentral
AACGAACGCUGGCGGCGCGCCUAAUACAUGCAAGUCGAGCGAGAAGACGUAGCAAUACGUUUGUAAAGCGGCGAACGGGUGAGGAAUACAUGGGGUAAUCUACCCUCGAGUGGGGAAUAACUAGCCGAAAGGUUAGCUAAUACCGCGUACGCUCCUUGGACUUCGGUUCAGGGAGGAAAGCGAUACCGUGGGUAUCGCGCUCUUGGAUGGGCUCAUGUCCUAUCAGCUUGUUGGUGAGGUAACGGCUCACCAAGGCUUCGACGGGUAGCUGGUCUGAGAGGACAAUCAGCCACACUGACACUGCGACACGGGCCAGACUCCUACGGAGGCAGCAGUAAGGAAUAUUGCGCAACGGGCG